This 1009-nucleotide ribosomal RNA is filed under the name bacterium RK13_tank. RNAcentral describes it as "bacterial SSU rRNA". It matches the Rfam family "Bacterial small subunit ribosomal RNA", at positions 337 to 1355 of the family's 1533-position model. The record is from RNAcentral.
UCCUACGGGAGGCAGCAGUGGGGAAUAUUGCACAAUGGGCGAAAGCCUGAUGCAGCGACGCCGCGUGAGGGAUGACGGCCUUUCGGGUUGUAAACCUCUUUCAGUAGGGAAGAAGCGAAAGUGACGGUACCUGCAGAAGAAGCACCGGCUAACUACGUGCCAGCAGCCGCGGUAAUACGUAGGGUGCGAGCGUUAUCCGGAAUUAUUGGGCGUAAAGAGCUCGUAGGCGGUUUGUCGCGUCUGUCGUGAAAGUCCGGGGCUUAACCCCGGAUCUGCGGUGGGUACGGGCAGACUAGAGUGCAGUAGGGGAGACUGGAAUUCCUGGUGUAGCGGUGGAAUGCGCAGAUAUCAGGAGGAACACCGAUGGCGAAGGCAGGUCUCUGGGCUGUAACUGACGCUGAGGAGCGAAAGCAUGGGGAGCGAACAGGAUUAGAUACCCUGGUAGUCCAUGCCGUAAACGUUGGGCACUAGGUGUGGGGACCAUUCCACGGUUUCCGCGCCGCAGCUAACGCAUUAAGUGCCCCGCCUGGGGAGUACGGCCGCAAGGCUAAAACUCAAAGGAAUUGACGGGGGCCCGCACAAGCGGCGGAGCAUGCGGAUUAAUUCGAUGCAACGCGAAGAACCUUACCAAGGCUUGACAUGUUCUCGAUCGCCGUAGAGAUACGGUUUCCCCUUUGGGGCGGGUUCACAGGUGGUGCAUGGUUGUCGUCAGCUCGUGUCGUGAGAUGUUGGGUUAAGUCCCGCAACGAGCGCAACCCUCGUUCCAUGUUGCCAGCACGUAAUGGUGGGGACUCAUGGGAGACUGCCGGGGUCAACUCGGAGGAAGGUGAGGACGACGUCAAAUCAUCAUGCCCCUUAUGUCUUGGGCUUCACGCAUGCUACAAUGGCCGGUACAAUGGGUUGCGAUACUGUGAGGUGGAGCUAAUCCCAAAAAGCCGGUCUCAGUUCGGAUUGGGGUCUGCAACUCGACCCCAUGAAGUCGGAGUCGCUAGUAAUCGCAGAUCAGCAA